RNA transcript from Pseudophryne corroboree (corroboree frog), 2385 nucleotides. RefSeq lists it as uncharacterized. The transcript is spliced from 8 exons. The record is from RefSeq and is a predicted model, not a curated record. Lineage: Eukaryota; Metazoa; Chordata; Amphibia; Anura; Myobatrachidae.
CAGCCGAGUGACUCUGGGAAUUACACUUGUGACAUAACAGCAUUAGGCGGACGCUUUCAAAACUCAUGGAUGCUUCAUGUAUCAGGUGUCUUAUUUUGGGAGAAUUAUCCCGUUAUUUUAUUUGGAAUCACUUACACUUUAUUUGUUUGGUGUGCCUUACAACACUAAUCUUCUGUUGUUUUUGGAGGAGCAGGUGUCUUAUUUUGGGAGAAUUAUCCCGUUAUUUUAUUUGGAAUCACUUACACUUUAUUUGUUUGGUGUGCCUUACAACACUAAUCUUCUGUUGUUUUUGGAGGAGCAGGUGUCUUAUUUUGGGAGAAUUAUCCCGUUAUUUUAUUUGGAAUCACUUACACUUUAUUUGUUUGGUGUGCCUUACAACACUAAUCUUCUGUUGUUUUUGGAGGAGCAGAAAAAAUGUCGUAUGCUCCUGCAGUAAGUUGACACACCGUUUUUAAUUAAAAUAUUAUGGUUUUUUUGUUUUUUUAUUGCAUUUGUCUUAUUCACCAUAUCUUUUUAAAAAUUUUUUAAGUGUGUGAUGUCAGUGUUUGUGGCAGCAGAAGCCCUCCCACCCCAACCCACCGCAGCACUCCCACCCCAACCGCCAGCCCCACAACCACAACCGGCUCCUCAUCAACCAAGGCAACGGAGGCGUGCUAGGCCACCAAUUUUCCGCACCCGUGUCAUACUUUUUGGGAUGCCAGAUGAUGUUGUUGUGCGUAGAUACAGGCUGCCACCACAUCUAAUCCUAGACACUCUCUCCAUAAUAGAGAGUGAUCUGGAAUCUUCAAUUCGGUAUCCUACAGCAAUACCACCAUUGACACAAUUCCUUGCUGUGUUACAUUUUUUGGCCACAGGGUCAUUUCAGCAUGUUGUUGGAGACCUGGUUGGCAUGUCGCAGGGCCAGUUCAGUAAGGUCCUGCGGCGUGUCAGCCAGGCUUUCAUAAAGCGCGUGAAGCAAUUUAUUGCUAUGCCUCUGGAUGAUGGUGCCCUAGAUGUGGUGAAGCGGCAAUUUAAGGAAGGUGGUAGUCGCUUCCCACAUGUUAUUGGGGUUGUGGAUGGCACACAUGUAGCUAUUGUGCCACCAAGACAUAAUGAAGAAAUUUAUAGAAACAGGAAACUGUUUCAUUAUCUGAAUGUAAUGGUUGUUUGUGGGCCAUCCCUCCAGAUCCUUUCCCUGAAUGCCAAGUUUCCCGGAAACUCGCAUGAUGCUUAUGUCAUUAGACAAUCAGGGAUAUGGCACAGAUUAAGAUCAAGACAACGAGCAGACAUGUGGUUAUUGGGAGACCGUGGAUAUCCUUGCACCCCCUGGCUCAUGACUCCUUACCGUAAUCCCAGGCCAGGACCACAGACGGAAUUUAACUCCGCGCUUACUGCCACUAGACAGCUGGUGGAGCGCACAAUUGGGGUCCUUAAAGACCGUUUUCGUGUGCUCCACCGCACUGGUGGCGACAUCAUGUAUUCGCCGGAGAUGGCAAGUAAAAUAGUGGUCCUGUGUGCUAUACUACAUAACAUCGCGGUAAGGAGUAGCGUAGAGCUUCCUCAGACAGAGGAAUUGCCAGAUGAGGAGCCAGGGGUUGUCCGUCGAUUCGGUGGGGGGAGUGUUUCACGGAGGGGAAGCCAAGUCAGGGCAAGCAUUGUUGAAGAAUAUUUCAGGACGAACACAACGGCAAGCUGAUGCAGGGAGGCAACAUCAGGCCCCUUCUCAGCCCCCCUCCCCUUCUCACUCCCCCUCCCCUUCUCACUCCCCCUCCCCUUCCCAGUCCCCCUCAGCUUCCCAGUCCCCCUCAGCUUCCCAUUCCCCCUCAGCUUCCCAGUCCCCCUCAGCUUCCCAGUCCCCCUCAGCUUCCCAGUCCCCCUCCCCUUUCCACUCCCCUUCUCAGCCCACCUCUCCUUCUCUUUCUGUGCCCCCUUCUCCUCCUUCCCAGUCCCCUUCUCCUUCUCCUUCCAACUCCCCUUCUCAGCCCCCCUCACCCUCUAUUGGACAAACAUUCUCUCCGCCCCAAACAUUCUCUCCGCCCCCCUCGCCCUCUCAAUCAGACCCACCCUCAGAAAAUACAUCCCCAAUCCCUCCUCCUUACCGCAUCUCUCCUCCUUCCCCAAUCCCUCCUCCUUCCCCCAUCCAGCCUCCUUCCCCCAUCCCUCCUCCUUCCCCAAUCCCUCCUCCUUCCCCCAUCCAGCUGCCUUCACCACCCAGUGAAUGGGCAGAAGAAGCCCCUGAUGGACUCAGUGGUGAGCAUCAUGUUGCAGAGGAAAAUGUUGCAGUUGGAGAUCCAACAAGUUUUGGGGGCAUUCUGGAAAACAUGCGCCAACACCUGCAUGGCUUAUUGAAUUGUAUUGAUCAGUUACAAAAAUUGCUUGAUUACAUUUUGUUUAUAUUUUUUUACU